AAACCAACAGGGAUUGCCUCAGUAGCGGCGAGUGAAGCGGCAAAAGCUCCAUUUUGAAAGCUCUUCGGAGCGUUGUAGAUUGGUGGGAAGCUAACGGCUGGUGGGAGACCAAGUCCUCUGGAACGAGGCGCCAUAGAGGGUGAGAGCCCCGUGUGUCUCCUUUACCGACCUUUCAGCCCCCUCCGCGGAGUCGAGUUGUUUGGGAAUGCAGCUCUAAGUGGGUGGUAAAUUCCAUCUAAGGCUAAAUAUUGGCGAGAGACCGAUAGCGAACAAGUACAGUGAUGGAAAGAUGAAAAGCACUUUGAAAAGAGAGUGAAACAGUACGUGAAAUUGUUGAAAGGGAAGGGUAUUUGGCCCGACAUGGGUCCUAUGCACCGUUGCCUCUCGUGGGCGGCGCUCUGCUUGGGCCUGGGCCAGCGUCAGUUUGGAGGGGGCGAGAAGGGUUUUGGGGAGUUGCCUAGCAAUUCCCCUUUGCUAGAUUGCCCCACACCGGACUGAGGACCGCCAUCUGUAGGAUGCUGGCACAACGGCCAAAUACCGC
Molecule: ribosomal RNA, 541 nt
Filed under: Saturnispora silvae
Lineage: Eukaryota; Fungi; Ascomycota; Pichiomycetes; Pichiales; Pichiaceae
Description: eukaryotic LSU rRNA
Rfam family: Eukaryotic large subunit ribosomal RNA
Source: RNAcentral